CAUCCUGUUGUCAUUGAACCGUUUAUGUGUGGAUUUACAUGUAUGUCUUGGAUCACUGUAGUGCUUGAAGCUCCAACAUGACCCAAUUAUAGCUUCUUGGCAGAGGCAGUCUGGUGAUGAAGACAUCACAAGGUUCUUGAGGCUUUUGGAGGAUAAAAACAGGUCUACAACAUCACCGGUCCUCUAUCAGACUUAACAGUGAGGAUUAGGUUAUUUUCUUUAUAACCAUCCUUCUUUGUACACCCAAACCCAGUGUUUGAUCCCAAAAGGCUCUAUUUUUUUUUUUUUUUAACCACAGAACCCAGUUCCAGUAGCAUCCAACAGACUCUACUUGUCUACAAUUGUGGUAAUGAAAGAAAAGCAAUUUUCUCUUGGCACUCGUUCCAAACAGUUUCUCGGCACGAAGGUGGCGUCUAAAUGACCGUUUAAGACUCAAAUGAAUAAAAAAAAUUAAUAAAUACAUGCUUCAGACUCGUUUUGAUCAUAAGAAUUUCUACGGGUGGCAAUAACAUGAUCUGG
Molecule: long non-coding RNA, 519 nt
Organism: Ictalurus punctatus (channel catfish)
Lineage: Eukaryota; Metazoa; Chordata; Actinopteri; Siluriformes; Ictaluridae
Exons: 2
Source: RefSeq, a predicted model, not a curated record